UUUGCAGAGGACAGACAAAUCUUUACUGCAAGUGCAUCAAAGAAUCAAUGGCAUUAUGCAGCAGCAAAGCAUGGCCAAUGUUGCAAGAAAAGUAAAGUACACUUGAAGAGAUCGAACGAGUAAUCCCGGUGAAAGAACACAAACAAUUGUUGUAUAUUUAGAAACAAGUUGCUGGAUCAAGACAACUUGCAUUAUUCUGAAAUAUUGAUCAUAUGAUCGAAUUACGAUAAGAUGAAGAAGAGGCACCAGAACUACUAUAAUUCAUUUUUCUAAUACAGGCAGUGCAAAGCAUUUGAACUUUUAGUUAAUUUAAUUGAUUAUGCCAAAUUGUUUGCAAGACAAUUAAGAGAGGAUAUACUGGAGUUUAGGUCAACAUCGGACUGAAUAUUGAGACAGCUUAAUCAUAGUGAAAGAAAACAUACAUCGAAUGUAUUUUAUCGGAGUAUCGAGGGAAUUUAACUAAUUAUUUUCAAUGUCAAGAGAGUUUUUAUCAUUGCAAAAUAUUGACCAAGAGAAACAAUUUCCUAUAAUAAAAUUUUCAUAUUAUGAUUUUGGUUCUAAAGUUAUAUAAUUAAAAAAAAUAUAAGUAA
This is a long non-coding RNA of Anneissia japonica, 590 nucleotides long. RefSeq lists it as uncharacterized. The transcript is spliced from 2 exons. NCBI's taxonomy places the organism in Eukaryota, Metazoa, Echinodermata, Crinoidea, Comatulida, Comatulidae. The record is from RefSeq and is a predicted model, not a curated record.